GACACUGUCGCUCAGUGGUUAGAGUGUUGGCCUUGUAAACCAGAGAUCUCGAGUUCUGUCCUUGCCUGGGCCU
Molecule: transfer RNA, 73 nt
Filed under: Otolemur garnettii (small-eared galago)
Lineage: Eukaryota; Metazoa; Chordata; Mammalia; Primates; Galagidae
Rfam family: tRNA
About the family: Transfer RNA (tRNA) molecules are approximately 80 nucleotides in length. Their secondary structure includes four short double-helical elements and three loops (D, anti-codon, and T loops). Further hydrogen bonds mediate the characteristic L-shaped molecular structure. tRNAs have two regions of fundamental functional importance: the anti-codon, which is responsible for specific mRNA codon recognition, and the 3' end, to which the tRNAs corresponding amino acid is attached (by aminoacyl-tRNA synthetases). tRNAs cope with the degeneracy of the genetic code in two manners: having more than one tRNA (with a specific anti-codon) for a particular amino acid; and 'wobble' base-pairing, i.e. permitting non-standard base-pairing at the 3rd anti-codon position.
Source: Rfam by way of RNAcentral